UCCAGUGGAAGGUAUUAAAAAUGUUUUCCA
This 30-nucleotide non-coding RNA is filed under the name Mus musculus (house mouse). The record is from RNAcentral. Lineage: Eukaryota; Metazoa; Chordata; Mammalia; Rodentia; Muridae.